This 253-nucleotide ribosomal RNA is filed under the name uncultured bacterium. RNAcentral describes it as "partial 16S ribosomal RNA". It matches the Rfam family "Bacterial small subunit ribosomal RNA", at positions 524 to 776 of the family's 1533-position model. The record is from RNAcentral.
GACAGAGGGUGCAAACGUUGUUCGGAAUUACUGGGCGUAAAGCGUGUGUAGGCGGUCUCAUAAGUCGGGUGUGAAAGCCCCAGGCUCAACUUGGGAAGUGCUUUCGAAACUGGCGGACUUGAAUACUGGAGAGGAUCGCGGAAUUCCCGGUGUAGAGGUGAAAUUCGUAGAUAUCGGGAGGAACACCAGCGGCGAAGGCGGCGAUCUGGACAGAUAUUGACGCUGAGGUGCGAAAGCGUGGGGAGCAAACAGG